RNAcentral lists this ribosomal RNA (511 nucleotides) under uncultured bacterium. RNAcentral describes it as "bacterial SSU rRNA". It matches the Rfam family "Bacterial small subunit ribosomal RNA", at positions 8 to 518 of the family's 1533-position model. The record is from RNAcentral.
AGAGUUUGAUUAUGGCUCAGGAUGAACGCUGGCGGCGUGCUUAACACAUGCAAGUCGAACGAAACCUAUUGGAUUGAAGUCUUCGGAAUGAUUGAAAAUAAGUUAGUGGCGGACGGGUGAGUAACGCGUGGAUAACCUGCCUUACACUGGGGGACAACAGUUGGAAACGACUGCUAAUACCGCAUAAGCGCACAGUACCGCAUGGUACAGUGUGAAAAACUCCGGUGGUGUAAGAUGGAUCCGCGUCUGAUUAGCUAGUUGGUGGGGUAAUGGCCUACCAAGGCAACGAUCAGUAGCCGGCCUGAGAGGGUGAACGGCCACAUUGGGACUGAGACACGGCCCAGACUCCUACGGGAGGCAGCAGUGGGGAAUAUUGCACAAUGGAGGAAACUCUGAUGCAGCCGACGCCGCGUGAGUGAAGAAGUAUUUCGGUAUGUAAAGCUCUAUCAGCAAGGAAGAUAAUGACGGUACUUGACUAAGAAGCCCCGGCUAACUACGUGCCAGCAGCGGC